This is a long non-coding RNA of Lathyrus oleraceus (garden pea), 1036 nucleotides long. RefSeq lists it as uncharacterized. The transcript is spliced from 4 exons. The record is from RefSeq and is a predicted model, not a curated record. Lineage: Eukaryota; Viridiplantae; Streptophyta; Magnoliopsida; Fabales; Fabaceae.
UGUACCAUUACAGCUUGGUGCACUGAGGGAUUUUGCCUAGGUUGCAAGUCUGCUAGCAUUUGGCUUAGAUUUCAAAGCAAUGUAGUAAGCAAGCCAAAGGUCAGCUGGCAGUUGAAUUGGCUAUGUUACAGUUAUGUGUCUUAGGUUUAUUAUGUAAAAUUCCAGUUCAUGUAUCAUGAUUGAUUUAAAUGAAUGGCUCCCCUGCAAGCUGUUUUGGUCUAAGUGUUUAUUGAUGAUGGCAAGGCUAGUGGAUUUGCAACAGGUAUGAGGAUCAUGAUGUCCCAAGUCCAACUUGGCCAGUACUGCAGCAGCAGGUAAGGUACUCCUUGAUGCAUAAUGGUUUUCACACUACAGCUCAUGAGAGUGGUGGUUAUGUAUGACUUGGUCUUUAUUGUCACAACUGAUGGCUUUGCUAACAAGAUGAUAGGCUAACACACUCCAAGGCCUGGCACGGUGUGCAGCUAGUAUUGGUGCAAUCCUGUAGGCUAGUAUGUGCAUAGCUUGACAAUUCAAUGAGUAGAGCUUGUUGAUGAUGAUGAUGGCAUGAUAAGCUUGAUGGUUCCAUGAUAGUUCAGGAUAGUGGUAUGGAGUUUCAAAGUUUGGACUGCUCCUUAUAUUCUAUUAUCUCAUAGAACUAUUGGCAUGAUGGUUUGGUGCAUCUCAUGGGAUAUCCGUCCUUGGUUUAAACAAUGCCUUAGCAUGUACCUUGUGGUAUUCUGAUUUUGUUUGAUGGCUUUUUCUAACAGGCCAGUUGCUGUGGACUUACAACUUCGGAUGCAUUUGUCUGUUUUGGGUGUCAUGGCUGAACCAGGGAGGAUCUUCUGUUGCUCAAGGCUUAUGCUGGCUUAAUGUUCAUGUACUAGUUCUGCAGCAGGUGCUCGUGGAUAAUAGGUUGGUUUGUGAUGCAUUGUGAAUUGGUACAAGUUUGUUCAAAUGGAAUUGCUUCAAAUCAUUUGCUCUAAGUUCAGUCAUCACGCCAUGACCUUAUGGAAUUCAAGUUUCGAUUUGGCAGCUGCAGGACCAUGAUGACAGGAUG